UACGUAGGGCGCGAGCGUUGUCCGGAAUUAUUGGGCGUAACGAGCUCGUAGGCGGUCUGUCGCGUCGGAUGUGAAAGCCCGGGGCUUAACCCCGGGUCUGCAUUCGAUACGGGCAGACUAGAGUGUGGUAGGGGAGAUCGGAAUUCCUGGUGUAGCGGUGAAAUGCGCAGAUAUCAGGAGGAACACCGGUGGCGAAGGCGGAUCUCUGGGCCAUUACUGACGCUGAGGAGCGAAAGCGUGGGGAGCGAACAGG
RNAcentral lists this ribosomal RNA (253 nucleotides) under uncultured bacterium. RNAcentral describes it as "partial 16S ribosomal RNA". It matches the Rfam family "Bacterial small subunit ribosomal RNA", at positions 524 to 776 of the family's 1533-position model. The record is from RNAcentral.